Molecule: ribosomal RNA, 774 nt
Filed under: uncultured Neocallimastigales
Lineage: Eukaryota; Fungi; Neocallimastigomycota; Neocallimastigomycetes; Neocallimastigales
Description: partial large subunit ribosomal RNA
Rfam family: Eukaryotic large subunit ribosomal RNA (bases 3-664)
Source: RNAcentral
UACACGCUGUGACUAGCAUAUCAAUAAGCGGAGGAAAAGAAACUAACAAGGAUUCCCUUAGUAACGGCGAGUGAAGCGGGAAGAGCUCAAAUUUGAAAUCUUGCAAGGUUUACCUUGACGAAUUGUAGUUUAAAGAAGUGUUUCUGCUGUAAGUUUGGUAAUAAGUUCUUUGGAAUAGGACAUCAUAGAGGGUGAGAAUCCCGUAUGAUUGACCGAUUAUUGUCAGCCUUGUGAUACACUUUCAAAGAGUCGGAUUGUUUGGGAAUGCAGUCCAAAAUGGGUGGUAAAUUUCAUCUAAAGGCUAAAUAUUGGCGAGAGACCGAUAGCGAACAAGUACCGUGAGGGAAAGAUGAAAAGAACUUUGAAAAGAGAGUUAAAUAGUACGUGAAAUUGUCAAAAGGGAAGCGUUUAACACCAGUGUUGUUUUCUGAAAAUCAACCUCUGUUAGCUUUAUGCAUGUUUGUUUAGACCUAAUCAGCUAUCUUUCAUGUUCUAUUGUUUGCAGUGGUGCACUUUUCAGUUUACAGGUCAACAUCAGUUUUUUUUACCGUAAAAAAGUUAAAGAAAGGUAGCUCAUGGCUCCGGUCGUGAGUGUUAUAGUCUUUUUCCUAUGCGGUAGGAGAGACUGAGGUCUGCAGUGUAGGCUAUUUGGCUAGAUACUCAGGUGCUAUGUGAUACCAUUUCAUAAACAACUUGUUGAUUAUGUUUUGUCUAUUGCAUACUCGCUUGUACUAUCAUACCUACGCUUAGGAUGUUGAGUAGCGACAUACGCAC